GAAAUAUAGAGUAUAAAAGGAAAGGAAACUGAAGCAUUUACAACUAUAGAAAUAGAUUUGGGCCAGUCAGGUGGUGCUUCAAAUGGGGAGUGUUAAAUUCAUUUCUUAGUCAACUCAAGCAGGAGCUGUGAAGGUGGGUAACACCAUUAAAGCACUAUUUGAGGAUGUUAAUCUCAUGGUUAAACAAAAACAAAAACAAAGGGCCAAACAAAAGGAUCAACGUGGAAACAGAGGCAGAGAACAAAGUAAUCAUCCAAAUGAAACAGCAGACCCAGACAGGGCAGGUGCAGCCAUGCACGUUGAUGGGCUUGCCAAGGGCAAGCUUGUGCAGCAGUAGCUGUUAACAAGGUAUAUGAAGAUCACCUGUCGAGUUUGUUAACCAUAUAGAUUCCAGGAUCUGACUCCCAGAGAAUCUAAUUCAGAAGCUGCCUGGAGGGGCAAUGAGACUGAACUUUUAAAAAGUAGUCACCGUGAUUCUAAGGCCAAUUUUGAGAAAUAUUAAUGGAGUAAAUAAAGAAAGCUAAUGGCAGAACCUUGAGGAAAAAACUGUUUUUAAUGAGAUGAGAAGGAAGAGGAGACAGCAAAGGAAAUAAGGAAUGACAUGAAGUAAGAGGAAGGAAAAGAAGCAUGCAGUAAGAAUUUCAAGAGGAGGUUUUGGCAAACGCUACAAACUAUCAAUGAAAUGAAUAUGGACAGGAAACAGAAUAACACCAAAAACUGUCUGUAAAGGAUCAAUGUUCAAUGGAGCUUGGAUUUGUCAUGGGUCUCUGGUGACAAACAUUGGUCAUAUUGGGCGAGGCUAUGCUGGGUAUAAAAUUAAGAAGGAAACUGACAUAG
RNAcentral lists this long non-coding RNA (837 nucleotides) under Homo sapiens (human). RNAcentral describes it as "HSALNT0178833". The record is from RNAcentral. Lineage: Eukaryota; Metazoa; Chordata; Mammalia; Primates; Hominidae.